Molecule: long non-coding RNA, 290 nt
Organism: Telopea speciosissima
Lineage: Eukaryota; Viridiplantae; Streptophyta; Magnoliopsida; Proteales; Proteaceae
Exons: 3
Source: RefSeq, a predicted model, not a curated record
AAAGAAUUUCUGAUGAUCUCCAAAACUAGAUAGAAAAAUCCACUGUAAUUACUUAGUUAAAGAAGUAACCUGAACUGGUAGACCUGCAUACUUCUUGGAUGUAAUGUGUUUUUCUUGUGCUUUACUUUCUCUUCUUUAGUCUCUUGCCUUAGAUAUUGUUUAUUUUCUUGUCCUCCACCAGUUACAUUUUUAUUUUGGUGAGAUGGAACCCAUUCCUUUGAUAUCUCAUUCUGUUGAAUGUACAUUAAUUUUGCUUCCAUUCUUUGAAAUACCAAUAAAUACUAAGAGAA